Molecule: small nuclear RNA, 105 nt
Organism: Oryctolagus cuniculus (rabbit)
Lineage: Eukaryota; Metazoa; Chordata; Mammalia; Lagomorpha; Leporidae
Source: RefSeq, a predicted model, not a curated record
GUUCUCAGUUUGGCAGCACAUCCACUGAAAUUGGGUUGAUAGAGAAGAUUUGCAUAGCCCCUGUGCAAAGAUGACAUGAAAAUUUAUGAAACAUUCCUUAUUUUU